This 497-nucleotide ribosomal RNA is filed under the name uncultured bacterium. Its description in RNAcentral is "partial 16S ribosomal RNA". It matches the Rfam family "Bacterial small subunit ribosomal RNA", at positions 28 to 507 of the family's 1533-position model. The record is from RNAcentral.
GAUGAACGCUGGCGGCGUGCCUAAUACAUGCAAGUCGAGCGAACAGACGAGGAGCUUGCUCCUCUGACGUUAGCGGCGGACGGGUGAGUAACACGUGGAUAACCUACCUAUAAGACUGGGAUAACUUCGGGAAACCGGAGCUAAUACCGGAUAAUAUAUUGAACCGCAUGGUUCAAUAGUGAAAGACGGUUUUGCUGUCACUUAUAGAUGGAUCCGCGCCGCAUUAGCUAGUUGGUAAGGUAACGGCUUACCACGGCAACGAUGCGUAGCCGACCUGAGAGGGUGAUCGGCCACACUAGAACUGAGACACGGACCCGACUACUACGAGAGGCAGCAGUAGGGAAUCUUCCGCAAUGGGGGAAAGCCUGACGGAGCAACGCCGCGUGAGAGAUGAAGGUCUUGGGAUCGUAAAACUCUGUUAUUAGGGGAGAACAAAUGUGUAAGUAACUAUGCACAUCUUGACGGUACCUAAUCAGAAAGCAACGGCUAACUACGUG